GGGGAAGACGGUGCGAAUCCGUCGCUGCCCCGCAUCUGUAACCGGAACGAACCCCGCACGGAGCCACUGUUCGCAUCGCGGAAUGGGAAGGCGCGGGAAGUAGGCCGCCGGAAGCCAGAAGAUCC
Molecule: non-coding RNA, 125 nt
Filed under: Deltaproteobacteria bacterium
Lineage: Bacteria; Pseudomonadati; Myxococcota; Myxococcia
Source: RNAcentral